GGGGAGUUUUUGGGGGAUGCCCCUUGUGGCCGCGGGGAACCCCAAGCGCUGCGGGCACAAGUCCUUCCGAGCAGGGUGAAGGGGAAGGAGAAGAGGAUCGGGGGGAGGCAGGGAGGAAAAAUCAUCCCCACGGCGCCGAGACUAUAGCUGCAUUCAUUAGCAAAGCGACAGAAGGGUCUCCUGCCUUUCCAGAAGGAUUGCUCGAGCAGAGCUCAAGGACUGGGCACAAUGCAGGGGCUGCACCGAGGGAGAGGACGGCUCCCGCAGCCCCCCGGAAUUCAAUGCAAAACCUGAGGGCUCAUACCUGCUGCUUUUAACACAGAAUUAACUGAUGUUGUAAGUCCCUCCAGCUCAAGAGUGAAAGUGGCAUUGACUGCAAGGAGAAAAGAGGAAGAAAUCACAUUUGCUGCUCAUGCAUCUGCCCGGAGAGGCCUUCUCAUGGCAAGCAGUGCUUGUGGCACAGCUCAGUGUCAGAACUGGUCUGCUAUCACCCGUCCCGGUUUGCUUAUCUCCUGACCAGGUUCACUCUUGUUUGUGUACGGAGAUUUCUGCCUUCUUCAUGCUCACGUGUUGUUGCUGCUCAUUUGCGAGCUCGGAAGAGUUUGGCAGCAGGCUGCAGUCAGUCGGAGCAGCCUCUAGGGUGUCCCUGAAGUUCUUUCUUAGCCAGCUGUGCUUCGUGCUCAGCUCGUUUGCUGUCUGAGCGAUGGGGUGGCAUUCGUACACCAGCCAAAGCACCGAUCAAAACCACCCGCUGAACCAUACCUCCCAGUGCUGGGCCGACCACGCAGCCGGCAACCUGCCUUGAGCAGCUCAUCGCCACUGCCCUUGGGGCCAGGAGAGAGGAUGCCAGCCCUUGGGGGCUGGAUACGUGCCCCAGCUCACCGCCACGGCCAGAACAGCAGCCUGGCACCCCUUCAUCCCUGUGGAGGACACGGUCUACACCGAACCCAUGCCCACCUUCUGGGAUGGCCGAACACCUCGACGGGCAGGACUGCACCUCCAUGGGUGGUAAGGUGGCCACCCAGGGCAUGCAUCCUGCACAUCCCACAGCCCUCCCUCCUCCUGAGGACACCUCCCCGAGGCAGGAGGACGCCUCCCCGACGGGCUGCAGGAGGCUGCUCGCCCCAGCAGCCCCCCACGUCCCCCAGCCACUUCCAGCCAGAGAAGGAGGAGGGCAGCGAGGGCCGGGGGAGGGCGCCAGGGCUGCCGGGCAGGGGCAGCCGCCCCGCCGCGCUUGUGCGGGCCUCUCUUGCCCUCUAGCGGGCAAAGCCAGCGGGGCGGCCCCGCAGUGCCCCCUGCGGCCUCCUCCUCUUCCUCGGCUUCCUCCUCCCUUCCCUGGGCAGGGCUCCCUGUGGGACAUCGGAGUGUGGGGCCCACCUCAGCAUCCCUCCCCCCCCCCCCGCCCCGUACCAGGGGACAAGCUGUGGGGUCCCCCCCUCAGCACCCCGUGUAUGGGCUCCUUGUGGGCUCCUGGGGUCAACAGGGACAGGGACCAAGUGCUAUGGCCCCAGAGAGCAACUGAACGAGUCUGUGGCAAUCAGUGGCCAUGUGUCUGGGUGGUAGAGGCUCCAUCCAUCUGCGGUGGUCCCUCCAACUGGUCGUGGUUGCCAACCACCUCCCUAUUGCUUGGGCGAAGCGAUGGAUGAGCCCCAAGGGAAGCACAGGGCUCAGUGCCCCCACUGCUGGGCAGACGUCAGGUGCCCGCUGCUGCUGCUGAAGAAAAAAGCAGAAGCUGGGGACAAGGGUGCUCCAGACAUGGUCCUGCCCCUGGAGGAGAUGGGGGCAACUCUGCAGUGAGCUCAUGGCUGAGUGGGACUCAAGAUGGGCUGCUCUUGGGAAAGGGAGAUUGUCCACAGUCGUGUGGGACCUACUGGUGUACCAUUGAAGGCAGGUUCUUCAAGUAGUUUAGCCUUUUUAUACAAAAAAAAAAAAAAAAAAAAAAAAAAAGUCCAUUUUUUUGCUGAUGAAUUACAAAAUAUUUCAGUAUCAUCAUCCCCAUUGUUUUCUUCCUUCACAGAUACAAAUUAGUGAAAACUUUGGCUUUUCCUACAUUAUUUUAUAUGUACUACGUCCAUCUAACAGAAGAUCUUCUAGCUUCUCUAAGAAUUCUUCCAUUGCAAGUAUGCUUUCAAAAAUUUGCUUUUCUUUUUAAAAAUGCUUGUGAUUGAUUUUCUUCCUGUAGCCUUCAACUUUAUUUUAUAUCCCUGUUUUCCCCAUUUGGUAGAUCACUUUAUUUUUGCACUCUCCCCAUUUUUCAAAUUAUCAAUAUUAUAUAUUGCAUUUUUUCUCUGCUGUUGUAAUCACUGAACUACUAUAGGCUAUCAUAAAAAGUUACCCUUUUUUAUGAAAUAGAUAGUUUUUAUCCCCUUCCCUCCCCUUUUUUUUUUAAUUUCUCACUCUUUGGGAAACCCUAAUACCUGUGGGAUGCCUUUCCCCUCUCGUCAUGGCUCCUUGAAGCUGAGCACUGACGAGAAAGCCCUCUGUUUGCUGGUAGUGAGCGUAGUCAGGUCACUUGGAAUGUAAUCACUUAGAAACCUCCACUCUCUGCUACAGUAUUAUAAUCCUUUGUAAUAUUUUGCAUGCCUGUGUCUGUUUCAUUUGCUUAAACACUAUCCAAUUACUUUGUUGAUAACUAACAUAUUUUGCAUGUUUUUGCCUGUUGAUUUCCUUAAUCAUUCUGCCACUAUUUCACUCAGCAGUAUGCAAACUGCACUCUGAUUUGGUGAUGUGAAGAGACAGAAAAUAAUAUAACCAUUUUCUUCAAAUAGUUACUGUGGAUAUGUACUAAUGUUUUCCUUUUGACUGGCCAAGGCAAAAACAUCUCUGACUACUGUCUGGGCUUGGUGUUACCUCAACUUGGUACUCCUGUACUUCUGCUUUUACAGCAAGACAAGAGACCCUUCCCUUUACAGGAAGGGAAGAGGCUGCUCAAGUAAAGGCAGCAGCCGUGGGUAGCUGAGGGACUGUAUGAUUACUAAACCAUUCCCCAUGGAGGACUGCCAUCUUCUGUUUGAGUUAUUUCUGUUUGCCCAAUGUGAAGAAGUUUAUAAAGGAACUGGGCAAAAGUAUGAGAAUAAAUGCUUUACAUUUUGGAGAGGGUGGGAGGUCAUGGAAAAUGCAUUCCAUAUUUUGGGUUUGAGAGAACAUCUGACAUAUUUGAUAGCCCAAUUCAAGAAAUAACAUAGUUAUAAGAGUCUGGGGUACAGCUAUGCCACUGCCUUCUUUGUGACAGUGGCAGUAGGAAACACCAGUUAAGGAGUACAUGUGUUCUUGGCCACCUUGUACAGUUUGUUCUCCUUGUUCUCCACCAGCAACCAUGACCACUGGGUUAGGGACAUCAUAAGGUACAUCCCUGCACAUUCUGUCUAGUAUUUGCUUAUAGACAGGCUGUUCCUGAAUUUGCAUAAUCCCAGUUUGAUCCUGCCUCCAUACUUCGUCUCAUAUGACAAUAAAAUCCAGAAUUUCACUAUCCUCUUUGUAAAAAAAGAACUUUCUUUUAUUGAUUUCAAACCAAUCUCUCACUAGUUUAAUUGAAUGACUCCUAAUCCUUGUGUUACAACAGCAGAGUAACAGUUAUGCCCCCCAUUCUCUUCAUGAUUUUGUAAAACUUACUCUUUGCCCUUAGACUUCUCCUCUCCAAACUGAAGAGUCACAGUCUAUGGAGCCUCUCAUCAGGCACCCAGGAGGCUCAAGGGUCUUACUUUCCCUUGAGGAGACAAUAAACAUUAUAAAUAUUACUGGAAACUUAGGUAAUGUCAAGCAAAACUAAGGGAUGAUAGAAGAUAGGACAAUAAGCAGGCUCAUAUGACAUGUUAGGUGCAGCUUAUAAGGCAAAUUAUCAAAAUCAUUUCAACCACGAGAAUCCCAGGGACAUGCUUUUGUUUGCUCACUGAAGGGUAAGUUUGCCAAGCACUGGUCAUGUAUAUAGUAUGUCAAAUGUUUUGUGGAACCAAUCAAUGCUAAAUUCCUUAACAAUUCAUGCAAUGUGACUAUCAUCACAGAGAAAACAGUGGACUUUUCACAUCAUGUAUCUUGUAGAGUACUAAAGAAGUACCCAGGUGUUGACUGUUAUAUAGCUCUGGUGAACACAGUUUUAACCAUGGAAACCGUAUCAAAAGAUUACCUCAAGUGUUGAUGGCUUGGCUAACUAUGC
Non-coding RNA from Anas platyrhynchos (mallard), 4153 nucleotides. The record is from RefSeq and is a predicted model, not a curated record. NCBI's taxonomy places the organism in Eukaryota, Metazoa, Chordata, Aves, Anseriformes, Anatidae.